UACGUAGGGAGCAAGCGUUGUCCGGAUUCACUGGGUGUAAAGGGUGCGCAGGCGGAUUGGCAAGUCAGAGGUGAAAUCUCACGGCUCAACCGUGAAACUGCCUUUGAUACUGCUGAUCUUGAGUUAGGGAGAGGUUGAUGGAAUUCUAGGUGUAGCGGUGAAAUGCGUAGAUAUCUAGAAGAACACCAGUGGCGAAGGCGAGUCCCUGGACAACUCCUGACACUGAUGCACGAAAGCUAGGGGAGCAAACAGG
This 253-nucleotide ribosomal RNA is filed under the name uncultured bacterium. RNAcentral's name for it is "partial 16S ribosomal RNA". It matches the Rfam family "Bacterial small subunit ribosomal RNA", at positions 524 to 776 of the family's 1533-position model. The record is from RNAcentral.